AUUGAACGCUGGCGGCAGGCUUAACACAUGCAAGUCGAGCGGGGUGAUGGUGCUUGCACUAUCACUUAGCGGCGGACGGGUGAGUAAUGCUUAGGAAUCUGCCUAUUAGUGGGGGACAACAUCUCGAAAGGGAUGCUAAUACCGCAUACGUCCUACGGGAGAAAGCAGGGGAUCACUUGUGACCUUGCGCUAAUAGAUGAGCCUAAGUCGGAUUAGCUGGUUGGUGGGGUAAAGGCCUACCAAGGCGACGAUCUGUAGCGGGUCUGAGAGGAUGAGCGGCCACACUGGGACUGAGACACGGCCCAGACUCCUACGGGAGGCAGCAGUGGGGAGUAUUGGACAAUGGGGGGAACCCUGAUCCAGCCAUGCCGCGUGUGUGAAGAAGGCCUUAUGGUUGUAAAGCACUUUAAGCGAGGAGGAGGCUCUUUUGGUUAAUACCCAAGAUGAGUGGACGUUACUCGCAGAAUAAGCACCGGCUAACUCUGUGCCAGCCGCCGCAGUAA
This 503-nucleotide ribosomal RNA is filed under the name uncultured bacterium. RNAcentral's name for it is "partial 16S ribosomal RNA". It matches the Rfam family "Bacterial small subunit ribosomal RNA", at positions 30 to 523 of the family's 1533-position model. The record is from RNAcentral.